RNAcentral lists this unclassified non-coding RNA (238 nucleotides) under uncultured Russulales. RNAcentral's name for it is "sequence contains 5.8S rRNA gene, ITS2, 28S rRNA gene". The record is from RNAcentral. Lineage: Eukaryota; Fungi; Basidiomycota; Agaricomycetes; Agaricales.
AACGCACCUUGCGCCCCUUGGCAUUCCGAGGGGCACACCCGUUUGAGUGUCGUGAAAUCCUCAACCCUUCUUUGUUUCUUUUCGAUUCGAAGAAAGGCUUGGAAUUUGGAGGCUUUUGCUGGCCUUUCUUGAAGCCAGCUCCUCUUAAAUGCAUUAGCAGGGUCUCCUCAGCUGGAUCCCUUGACGUGAUAAGCCUUUUACGUCUCAAAGGGUUUUCUGGCUCUGCCCGCUUCCAAUU